Dendroctonus ponderosae (mountain pine beetle) is the source of this 71-nucleotide non-coding RNA. Lineage: Eukaryota; Metazoa; Arthropoda; Insecta; Coleoptera; Curculionidae. The record is from the annotation of a RefSeq genome assembly.
GGCUCGUUAGCUUAGUGGUAAUAGCGCCAAACUGUUGAUGGAGGUCGUAGGUUCGAUUCCUACACGAGCCC